AGAGUUUGAUCAUGGCUCAGGAUGAACGCUAGCUAUAGGCUUAACACAUGCAAGUCGAGGGGAAACGGCAGAGAGUGCUUGCACACUUUGGACGUCGACCGGCGCACGGGUGAGUAACGCGUAUCCAACCUGCCCUUUACUUGGGGAUAACCCGUUGAAAGACGGACUAAUACCCAAUGAUAUUCAUUGAUGACAUCUGAUUUGAAUUAAAGAUUUAUCGGUAUAGGAUGGGGAUGCGUCUGAUUAG
RNAcentral lists this ribosomal RNA (247 nucleotides) under uncultured bacterium. RNAcentral's name for it is "partial 16S ribosomal RNA". It matches the Rfam family "Bacterial small subunit ribosomal RNA", at positions 8 to 244 of the family's 1533-position model. The record is from RNAcentral.